This 855-nucleotide long non-coding RNA is filed under the name Salmo salar (Atlantic salmon). Its description in RNAcentral is "lncRNA (ENSSSAG00000120459.1)". The stretch from base 486 to 557 matches the Rfam family "tRNA". The record is from RNAcentral. Lineage: Eukaryota; Metazoa; Chordata; Actinopteri; Salmoniformes; Salmonidae.
CCCAAAACCCAAAAUCACUUCUUCCUGUAACUCCAACAAAACCUGUUUUUAAACACAGCCUAAGAGAUUAAAAGAGAGAGAGAAACAGAGAACACAAACAGAUUGUAAAGAAUGAGAAAGAGAGAGAGUGUGUGAGUGUGUACAGUGAGUGUGCACCACCACUUGUUCUCUGCUAUGUGACAUACUCCUCCAUUUUCUUUCCACAGACACAGUAUCACAACCUGACGUCACUUGUGAAUGGAACGGUACCAUGGCAACACUUUGCUGCAGUGCCGAGUGUCCGCUGUUGGUGUACCGUGUGGCCUGACCACCAGGGGGAGAUGUGGAGCCAGGAGCUUACUGGACAGGACUACAACAUCAAAUCCCUGGAGUCAGACAGACAACGACACCUGUAAGGCCAAAAACCCAGUCAGUGAGAUGACACAGCUUAACAAGAUAGAUAGUACAAGCAGAUAUGGGCGACACCAACAUUUGUUUUUGUCUGGUCCCGUGUGGCUCAUUUGGUAGAGCAUGGUGUUUGCAACGCCAGGGUUGUGGGUUCGUUUUCCACGGGGGAACAUCCCCCUAAUAGCUGGUGCUGUGAUUGGUGUCUUGGCUUCUGAUCUAUUGGCUAUUCAUCCAUGUGUAGUGGCCUGUCUCAUCUGCUGGAAGUGUUCCAAAGUAACCAAGGCAAAGUGAAUGGAGAUUCGGAGAGAAGUGACCCCUAGGUGAUACUCUCCAACCCAGCUCCAACAUCCCUGGUUCUCUAGUUAUAUGUUGAAUGGUAUCAAGAGCAGGGCAUGCUGAUUGGCUGAAAGCAGUGGUAUUUCAGUAUACCAUGGGUCUGACUAAACAAUUAUUUUUACUGCUCUAAUU